CCAGAUCUCAGGGCAUUUCCACAUCUUGCAUGAGGCCAUGGUGGCCACAGCUGGGCUCUGGGAAGACAAACAUAGAUAAACAGCAAAGUGGUACCAGCGGGAUGAAGAAUAGCACUGAGUCAAAGCAAUAGGCUUCUGACAUACAUGCAUCGCUACACUGCCCAGUGGCAUAAACAUUCUCCAUCAUCUUCUCCUCUCUCGGAAGGAACGUGCUAUAAGAAGUGGGGAUGAUCACCUAUCCCAUUCAGGGCUGCCUGCGAGAUACACCAUGGGAUCCCCAGAAUAGCAUCUCUGGGCUGUAUUCUAAGGAGGACAUUGAGACACAGCAGCUGGAAAUCUACGUUUUUUCCUGACUUUCCCUUGAAGUAUCCUUGGCUUGAGAAGCACCCUGGCAGGAACAAGUUUGUUGUUAAUGACCAAUUACUCCAGGAUGGUGGAGGAGUGGUGCUUUUUGGUACAUGGAGAAGGGCAGAAGAAGUCAAAUGAGCAGGUGCUUGUCUUGAUGCAGCUGGUAGACUGCAGAAAUGGCUACACGACUGAUGGGAGUGCUAGUACAAUAUGGAGGGCCCUACACUCCGAAGCACCACAGGCGCAGUCAGAGCCACCACCAGCAAUAAACUAUCCAACACCGAUGGAAGGGACAAAAAAUGGUCAAUGUUGCCACUAUUUUCAGGAAGAAAAAAAGAUUGCAUUUUCCUUUUCUUUUGGACUUAAUUUUAGAAACUGUUUAUACACAACUUGUUUUGUCUGGUUGGAUGCAUCUUGGGUUACUUUUGUCUGUCCAGUUUUAAGUACUUGACCACUAAUUGCUGUUUCCUUGAUGAAGAGCUUUGCUUUUAGUUUCUGAAUUUCAUACUGAAUUGAGAGCGCUCGUAUGCUGUCCCAAUACUGCUCUCAGUAUGCCUCCAGGGCUCUGAGAUGCCCCCAAGGCCAGACUCAAGCCUCAAAGCGAAUAACAUGGCACAGUUGUGCUGCCUUAGGGCCUCCCAAGGGCACCCCAGAAGCCUGGAUGCCUGUGUUAGUCAUCACCCCAAACUCGGCCCAUACAGAUAGCAGCCCCACAGCCUCUGCUCCCUGUCCCAGGAGAGCUCUCUGUAGCAGCAGUACUGUGGUAGCUGUCUGUGAUGGUCCUACUAACACAGAAUGAAGGGAAAAAAGGGAUGGCAGAAUCAGCAUCACGGAGGAAGAUGCAGAGCAGCCACAGCACCUACAUGCCCUGCAUUUUCAGCUGGCAAGGUGACUGAGGGCUGAUGGGAGCUGCUACAUGUACUAGGCUGUAUGCAUGCUUUAAGAACCCAUUGCUGGGAACUGAGAAGAUUUUAUAUGUAUGUGCAGCUUUACACUGUCUUACUGGUAUCUGAACAUCUGCUGCUACUUAAAAGGCAACCCAGUCCUGACCUACCUACAGAGAAGACCUUGGGUAUUGUUUUUUUUAAAGCAGUGGAUAGGUCAGAAUGCAAAUGCUAUUAAGAAAAGCUCAAGUGAGCAUUUAAUGUUACAUUUGGCUCUACCUGCUUCUGGUGCCACUCUCCUGCCCAUAUCCACCUCUUAUUUCUUAUAGUCAAAACUCCUUGGAGCACGCAUGUUUCAUUCAGUGUCCGGUGCAGCAGUCUUAGUUGUGAGUAUUGACUUCUCGGCAGUAACAAUAAUAAUAGCAUUUAAUUAACCGAGUUAUUAGAAUCCCUUUGACAAGAUACCUGGUUAUAUUACUAAUAAAAGCCAUCUGUAAUUCUACUGAACUAUUAGUUAACGCUGCUCUCUCUUUCGCCAGUGUGGCAUAACUAGAAUAUAACAGUAGAUUUUUAUUGAUAAGGUUUCUAUCGAGAGAAGUUAAAUGGUAUUUGCCAUCACCAAAUGACAUUAAAUACAUUAACUGAAAGCCUACCAGACACCAACCAACAACAUAAAAUAUGGAAAUGUUCUUCCCCCCAGCUCAGUAGGGCUGCCACUUAGCUAUUUCUGACAUUUAAUUAACGUAAACGUCAUUAUUCCUAACACAGACCAUCUUGCAGUGAAUACAUUUUCAAAUGCUCAGAGCAAAGCAGAAAGGAGUACAGGAAUCCUGAGGAGUUACAAAUCAUUCCCAUAUUAGGUACUAUUUCCAUAAAGAGCUGGGUUCCCAGUUUAUCCAUUAUCAUUAUGCCUAUUUAUUGCAUAUUAAGUAUGAGGGAUGCGUGUCUAGACUAAAACCCUGUUUUUAUAGGUGUUACAUGAGAAAGCCAUGAGGCAAUCCCUGCUCGUAUAGACUGCAAUGUGGUAUCACAGUGACUCUGUCAGUGGUGCUCAAUGCCAGGGCGAGAGGCACAAACCAGCACACAGGAGGUUCCCUCUGAACACCGGGAGCACUUCUGUGCUGUGCAGUGACGGAGCACUGGCACAGGCUGCCCAGAGGCUGUGGAGUCUCCUCCUUGGAGAUCUUCCAAAGCUGCUUGGACACGGCUCUGGGCACCCUGCUCUGGGUGUCCCUGCUGGAGCAGGGGUUGGACAAGAUGACCUCCAGAGGUCCCUUCCCACCUCAACCAUCCUGUGAUUCUAUGAAUUUGUUUUCCAAUCAGUGUCCAAGCAUUGAGCUAAAAGGCCAUGAAGGACUUCAAGACAUAUUUCCAUUGCAUCAGGUGAACUGCAAAGCCUGAGCUGCCCCUGGAUCAGCAUCUCCAGCUUGGUCAAGGCCUGGCUGAACAAGCUAUGACCUUUCUGCUGCCAUGUAAUCUGGUGUUAACACAAAUAUACAGCCCAGCCUACUCUUGUUGGCACCUCUGCAGGCUGUGGUGCAGCAGCAUGUGGUGACACUGGUUUGGGACUGUCAGCCUGGAAGCCGCUGCUGUGGGAUACAGUGUGGGUACAUGUGCAAGUCCUUAUGCCACUCCAUCUGCUGUAGGGUCUUAGUUGGCCCUUAUUUCAACAAGGUGUUCCGAGGACCCAUUUUAAAGGAGCUCACAGAGUGCAGAUGGGAAAAUGAAGAGGGAAAGGCAGGUGAGACAGCAAGCAGAGGUGAGAUCAGACACUGGAAUCUAAAGGCAUAAGGCAGCAUUAGUAACGAAGAGGCUUGUGUUUGCCAGUCCUGGUUACAAGAAACCUCACUGCAAACAGUGCAUAUAAAACAUGGCAUUGUGAGAUCUUUGUAUACAAAUACAGUUAAGAGAAGAAGAUGCUAUAUGGAAAACUUUGCCAUAUUUCUGAAUAUACACUCUUUGAAAAAUAAUGUUGACAGAGCCAGAACGGGCCUGAUAUAUCCAACUCUCAUGCGCACGUCCUCAUUCUUAUGGUUUAAUAAUCAUAAUGAACUAUAGGGGGAAGGUAAAUAGACUUCAUUCCACACAUCUGAGGAUAAUAAUAAUAAGGAAGAGAUUUCAAACAUUGGUAAUGACUUGUAGAACUGCACAUUGCUUAAAACAUCGAACGCAAGCCAAGAAAUACCCCUCGAGGCUGCAAUCAAAAACUGUUUUUGGCUCUACACUGUGAACAGAAAUUUUAUUUGAUCAACAGAGCUAUUGCAACAGCCUUACUGUUUAGCCUCUAGAAGCUUGUCUCUGAAGCAGCAGCCAUGCUGCAUGGCAAAGCUUGGGGCUAGUGAAACUGCAGCCUCUGCUAAAAGCUUUGGGAUGGUCAUGACAGGGACUGAGGAACACCUCAGGUUCUUCUCCUUUUGCAAGUUCAGGAGCCUGUGUAACUUUUCAUGAGGAAAGAGGAGAGAUCUGAGGGUGGAAAAAACAUUCCUCUUUUAGAGAACAGAUGCUGCUUUGGGAGAAUGAAAUCGACUGGACUGGGUUUUGCAAAGUGGUUCAGAGUUCUGCCCUCAGUAGCUGUACAAAUACAGAGGCAAUCCCUGGUCCAGGGGCCUUGCAGGCUAAAAAGAAAACAGGUGCCUGUGUGCUCCCCCUCCCACUGCCAGAGGAGAAAAAACUUCCUGCCUGAGAACACUGGCAGGAAGAGAAGGAAAAACUUGAGAAUAUUUUUUAACACGUUCUCAGAAAACGACACACCUUCUCACAAUAUUUUGGAUUUAUUUACUUUUGUCAGUGUUGAAAUGUGAAAGGUAGAAAACGCUUAAAUUGAGAAGGCUGAUGGCCUAUUAUUCAUUUUCAUAUCUGCCAUCAGAGACGUGUUUCCUGCUGGCAUCUCUAAGGAAAAGGAAGUUUAGAGAAGACAGAUAGUUGUUAAGCACAGAAUCAUUUUCAGCAGGGAACAAGAAGCUGUAUUGAUUCAAGAAAAUGAAGGAGUGAUACUGACUACCCCUCAGUACAACAUACCUUACCUGGAUAAUUAUUUAGUGACAUACAGGCUGAUGGCUUGGUGAUCUGGCAAGCUGGACUUUCUCCAAACAUGGGAAUAAAAUGUAAAAUAUUAGCAGGCUCCUGUUCAGCAAAAAGAAACCAGUGGUGCAGGAAAGCUGUGAUCUGUCACAGACACGAGAGCUCAGAUGUAAAACAGACCCUCAGGAGAGGAUUUUCAGGCAAAUAUGCCGUAGGAGAGAGUCCAGAGCCCAAAGAGUCAACCGGGUCCUCACAGAGGCCAUGAGCGUAGGAUGGACCAAAACACAACAAAACUAGGCAACCUACAAAUAGUUUGUGUGAUACAUACAGAGAAGGCACUCCAAGUCCUCCGUAAGCACAGAAAUGAGAAGCCUGAAACGUGCUGGUUCUAAGAGUUGAAACUACCAUUACAAGUCAUGUGGCUUCUUAAAGUAUCAGCUCUGAUUUU
RNAcentral lists this long non-coding RNA (4701 nucleotides) under Gallus gallus (chicken). RNAcentral describes it as "lncRNA (ENSGALG00010007212.1)". Lineage: Eukaryota; Metazoa; Chordata; Aves; Galliformes; Phasianidae. The record is from RNAcentral.